This 355-nucleotide RNase P RNA is filed under the name Sulfobacillus thermotolerans. RNAcentral describes it as "RNase P RNA component class A". It matches the Rfam family "Bacterial RNase P class A". From Rfam's summary of the family: Ribonuclease P (RNase P) is a ubiquitous endoribonuclease, found in archaea, bacteria and eukarya as well as chloroplasts and mitochondria. Its best characterised activity is the generation of mature 5'-ends of tRNAs by cleaving the 5'-leader elements of precursor-tRNAs. Cellular RNase Ps are ribonucleoproteins. The record is from RNAcentral. Lineage: Bacteria; Bacillati; Bacillota; Clostridia; Eubacteriales; Clostridiales Family XVII. Incertae Sedis.
CGAGCCGAUAUGAUGACCGCGGGUGCCAGGCCGAAAGGCGGCAUCUGAGGAAAGUCCGAGCUGCAUAGAGCAGGGUGCUGGAUAACGUCCAGUGGGGGCGACCCUAAGGAAAGUGCCACAGAAAACAAACCGCCUAAAGCGUCGCUUUAGGUAAGGAUGAAACGGUGCGGUAAGAGCGCACCAGAGGCCAGGUGACUGGUCUGCUUGGUAAACCCCACCCGCAGCAAGACCGAAUAGGGGCAGGAUGAAGUUGCUCGCUGAGCUGCCCGGGUAGGUCGCUUGAGGCGACAGGUAACUGUCGUCCCAGAUAAAUGGUCAUCCACGACAGAACUCGGCUUAUAAGUUGACUCGCAAA